This 87-nucleotide transfer RNA is filed under the name Thermotoga neapolitana. RNAcentral's name for it is "tRNA-Leu". It matches the Rfam family "tRNA". From Rfam's summary of the family: Transfer RNA (tRNA) molecules are approximately 80 nucleotides in length. RNAcentral also lists the same sequence under 14 other names. Lineage: Bacteria; Thermotogati; Thermotogota; Thermotogae; Thermotogales; Thermotogaceae. The record is from RNAcentral.
GCCGAGGUGGCGGAAUGGCAGACGCGGCUGACUCAAAAUCAGCUGGGGGAUGACCCCGUGCGGGUUCAAGUCCCGCCCUCGGCACCA